RNAcentral lists this long non-coding RNA (219 nucleotides) under Glycine max (soybean). RNAcentral's name for it is "long non-coding RNA (GMAX_LNC001606)". The record is from RNAcentral. Lineage: Eukaryota; Viridiplantae; Streptophyta; Magnoliopsida; Fabales; Fabaceae.
GUUAAAAUAUUAAUUUUCGAUAGCAGGAAGGAUCAAACUCCCAACAUACCUCUCCUUCCUUUCCCUCUUAAUCAUCAAAUCCAACUUAUAUCUCCUCUAAGGAUAUUAAUUAUAGAGUUUUUAUGGUGCCCAAAAAUUAUGAGAGUUUUGAUACCGUUGUUUUUUUUAACUAAUAAAAUUGUCAUGUUAUUUAUCUUCUCAUUAAUUAGAUAAUUUUUU